RNAcentral lists this ribosomal RNA (253 nucleotides) under uncultured bacterium. RNAcentral describes it as "partial 16S ribosomal RNA". It matches the Rfam family "Bacterial small subunit ribosomal RNA", at positions 524 to 776 of the family's 1533-position model. The record is from RNAcentral.
UACGUAGGGGGCGAGCGUUGUCCGGAAUUACUGGGCGUAAAGAGCGCGUAGGCGGCUCGAUAAGUUCUGUGUGAAAGCCCCCGGCUCAACUGGGGAGGGUCGCGGAAAACUGUCGGGCUGGAGUGUCGGAGAGGGAAGUGGAAGUCCCGGAGUAGGGGUGAAAUCCGUAGAGACCCGGAGGAACACCAGUGGCGAAGGCGGCGUCCUGGCCUGCGACUGACGCUGUGGCGCGAAAGCUAGGGGAGCGAACGGG